GCUGCCCGCCCGUACGCGACCCCAGGUCAGGCGGGGCUACCCGCUGAGUUUAAGCAUAUCAAUAAGCGG
This 69-nucleotide ribosomal RNA is filed under the name Acacia mangium. RNAcentral's name for it is "partial 26S ribosomal RNA". The record is from RNAcentral. Lineage: Eukaryota; Viridiplantae; Streptophyta; Magnoliopsida; Fabales; Fabaceae.